AUUGGACUUUAGUCGCGCAGUAUAGGUGGGAGGCGUUGAGAAUACUCUUGCGGGAGUAUUGGAGCUAUCAGUGAGAUACCACUCUUCUAAUGUUAGAUUUCUAACUUUGAACCAUUAUCUGGUCAAAGAACAGUUUCAGGCGGGCAGUUUGACUGGGGCGGUCGCCUCCCAAAUGGUAACGGAGGCGUACAAAGGUUUCCUCUGAACGGGUAGAAAUCGUAUCUAGAGUGUAAAGGCAUAAGGAAGCUUGACUGUGAGACCUACAAGUCGAACAGGGACGAAAGUCGGUCUUAGUGAUCUGACGGUACUGAGUGGAAAGGCCGUCACUCAACGGAUAAAAGUUACUCUAGGGAUAAC
This 357-nucleotide ribosomal RNA is filed under the name uncultured eukaryote. RNAcentral describes it as "LSU rRNA". It matches the Rfam family "Bacterial large subunit ribosomal RNA", at positions 2122 to 2478 of the family's 2925-position model. The record is from RNAcentral.